RNAcentral lists this small RNA (393 nucleotides) under Pentaceras australe. RNAcentral describes it as "eukaryotic LSU rRNA". The stretch from base 1 to 127 matches the Rfam family "5.8S ribosomal RNA", at positions 30 to 154 of the family's 154-position model. The record is from RNAcentral. Lineage: Eukaryota; Viridiplantae; Streptophyta; Magnoliopsida; Sapindales; Rutaceae.
GCAUCGAUGRAGAACGCAGCGAAAUGCGAUACUUGGUGUKAAUUGCAGAAUCCCGUGAACCAUCGAGUCUUUGAACGCAAGUUGCGCCCUAAGCCGUCAGGCCGAGGGCACGUCUGCCUGGGUGUCACGCAUCGUUGCCCCACCCCGCCCCCUCUCCGGGGGCACGGCGGUGCGGGCGGAGAAUGGCCUCCCGUGCGCUCCCGCUCGCGGUUGGCCCAAAUUCGAGUCCUCGGCGACCGGAGCCGCGACGAUCGGUGGUGCAAGCAAAUGCCUCUCGAGCUCACGUCGCGCGCCCCGCGUCUCCAUACGGGGACUCAGGGACCCUGACGCUCCGCGCAAGCGGGGCUCGCACCGCGACCCCAGGUCAGGCGGGAUUACCCGCUGAGUUUAAGC